This 229-nucleotide unclassified non-coding RNA is filed under the name Hevea brasiliensis (rubber tree). The record is from RNAcentral. Lineage: Eukaryota; Viridiplantae; Streptophyta; Magnoliopsida; Malpighiales; Euphorbiaceae.
GAUCCGCUAUUUUCGUGCAGAAGGGGUCGAAAAUUGGCGAUAACACCGAUGCGAACGCUGUAUUAAACCUAAAUUUUCCCACUCCUCCAUUUGUCUGUGAUCUCUCUCUCUCUGCAAAACUUCUCUUCUACACUCUUCUUCAUCGUCGAAGCAAUAACAAUGUCGUGCUACAAGGGAAAAUACGCCGAUGAACUGAUCAAGAAUGCUGCAUACAUAGCUACCCCUGGUA